UACGGAGGGUGCAAACGUUGCUCGGAAUCAUUGGGCGUAAAGCGCACGUAGGCGGUCUUGUAAGUUGGGCGUGAAAUCCCUCGGCUUAACCAAGGAAGUGCACUCAAAACUGCAAGACUUGAAUACUGGAGAGGGUCGCAGAAUUCUCGGUGUAGAGGUGAAAUUCGUAGAUAUCGGGAGGAAUACCAGUGGCGAAGGCGGCGACCUGGUCAGAUAUUGACGCUGAGGUGCGAAAGCGUGGGGAGCAAACAGG
This 253-nucleotide ribosomal RNA is filed under the name uncultured bacterium. Its description in RNAcentral is "partial 16S ribosomal RNA". It matches the Rfam family "Bacterial small subunit ribosomal RNA", at positions 524 to 776 of the family's 1533-position model. The record is from RNAcentral.